GUAUUUGGCAUAGUGGCUAAGAUGCUACCCAGGAUGACCACAUCCCAUACAAGCGUGCCUGUGUUCACUUCUUAUCGCGGCUCUGGAUUCCAGCUUGACGCUAAUGUGCACCUUGGGAGGAAGCAGAGGCAAAGAGAUUAAACCCCUGCUCGCCCUGCACUUAAUGGUGACGAACGAAACAUCAGGAGCUGGACACACCAACGAUGAGCAAGCUCAGGAGCCAGAGCUGCUGGUGCCUCCUCUCCAAAACCAUGUCCAGUUAAACUGCAAAAUAAGAAGUCUCCAUGGCCGCAGACCGAACAGACCAACCCAAGCCUCUGCAAUGCAGCAAACUGAAGAUUACUCUGAGAUCAACUCACAGGACCAGCAGCAAACCUCGCUGGACUAUGGCAUGGGAGCCACAGAGAAAGCAAAACUGUGCAGGAAGGCGCCAGUGUCUGGAGCAGGCAGCAUCCAGGAGAUGCCUGACAGGCUGAGUGAAGGUACAGGAGGUGCAAAAGCAGCCAGGAGAGACUCUGAGAGUGGCAAGCAUCAGCAAGGGUCACCAGCCAGGUCCACCAUGCUCAGGAAAGUGACCAUCUGGGCAUCGAGCCAGUGUGGCUGCAGGCUAACUACCUCCAUGGCAACAUAUAAACUUAUGACUGAUGAUUAA
RNAcentral lists this long non-coding RNA (652 nucleotides) under Oryctolagus cuniculus (rabbit). RNAcentral's name for it is "lncRNA (ENSOCUG00000038184.1)". Lineage: Eukaryota; Metazoa; Chordata; Mammalia; Lagomorpha; Leporidae. The record is from RNAcentral.